This 1417-nucleotide ribosomal RNA is filed under the name bacterium. RNAcentral's name for it is "bacterial SSU rRNA". It matches the Rfam family "Bacterial small subunit ribosomal RNA". The record is from RNAcentral.
UGCAAGUAGAACGCUGAAGAGAGGAGCUUGCUCUUCUUGGAUGAGUUGCGAACGGGUGAGUAACGCGUAGGUAACCUGCCUUGUAGCGGGGGAUAACUAUUGGAAACGAUAGCUAAUACCGCAUAACAAUGGAUGACACAUGUCAUUUAUUUGAAAGGGGCAAUUGCUCCACUACAAGAUGGACCUGCGUUGUAUUAGCUAGUAGGUGAGGUAACGGCUCACCUAGGCGACGAUACAUAGCCGACCUGAGAGGGUGAUCGGCCACACUGGGACUGAGACACGGCCCAGACUCCUACGGGAGGCAGCAGUAGGGAAUCUUCGGCAAUGGGGGCAACCCUGACCGAGCAACGCCGCGUGAGUGAAGAAGGUUUUCGGAUCGUAAAGCUCUGUUGUAAGUCAAGAACGAGUGUGAGAGUGGAAAGUUCACACUGUGACGGUAGCUUACCAGAAAGGGACGGCUAACUACGUGCCAGCAGCCGCGGUAAUACGUAGGUCCCGAGCGUUGUCCGGAUUUAUUGGGCGUAAAGCGAGCGCAGGCGGUUUGAUAAGUCUGAAGUUAAAGGCUGUGGCUCAACCAUAGUUCGCUUUGGAAACUGUCAAACUUGAGUGCAGAAGGGGAGAGUGGAAUUCCAUGUGUAGCGGUGAAAUGCGUAGAUAUAUGGAGGAACACCGGUGGCGAAAGCGGCUCUCUGGUCUGUAACUGACGCUGAGGCUCGAAAGCGUGGGGAGCGAACAGGAUUAGAUACCCUGGUAGUCCACGCCGUAAACGAUGAGUGCUAGGUGUUGGAUCCUUUCCGGGAUUCAGUGCCGCAGCUAACGCAUUAAGCACUCCGCCUGGGGAGUACGACCGCAAGGUUGAAACUCAAAGGAAUUGACGGGGGCCCGCACAAGCGGUGGAGCAUGUGGUUUAAUUCGAAGCAACGCGAAGAACCUUACCAGGUCUUGACAUCCCGAUGCUAUUUCUAGAGAUAGAAAGUUACUUCGGUACAUCGGUGACAGGUGGUGCAUGGUUGUCGUCAGCUCGUGUCGUGAGAUGUUGGGUUAAGUCCCGCAACGAGCGCAACCCCUAUUGUUAGUUGCCAUCAUUCAGUUGGGCACUCUAGCGAGACUGCCGGUAAUAAACCGGAGGAAGGUGGGGAUGACGUCAAAUCAUCAUGCCCCUUAUGACCUGGGCUACACACGUGCUACAAUGGUUGGUACAACGAGUUGCGAGUCGGUGACGGCAAGCUAAUCUCUUAAAGCCAAUCUCAGUUCGGAUUGUAGGCUGCAACUCGCCUACAUGAAGUCGGAAUCGCUAGUAAUCGCGGAUCAGCACGCCGCGGUGAAUACGUUCCCGGGCCUUGUACACACCGCCCGUCACACCACGAGAGUUUGUAACACCCGAAGUCGGUGAGGUAACCUUUUGGAGCCAGCCGCC